Molecule: ribosomal RNA, 409 nt
Filed under: Amblyomma triste
Lineage: Eukaryota; Metazoa; Arthropoda; Arachnida; Ixodida; Ixodidae
Description: partial 16S ribosomal RNA
Source: RNAcentral
AGUAUUUUGACUAUACAAAGGUAUUGAAAUAAGACUUUAAUUGAGUGCUAAGAGAAUGGAAUUUCAUAAAAUUUCUUUUUUAAUUUUAAAAAUUGAAAUUAAUUUUAUAUGUGAAGAAACAAUAAUAAAAAUUAAGGACAAGAAGACCCUAAGAAUUUUAAAGAUUUUAAUAAAAUACAAAAUUUUAUUGAAAUCUUUUAAUUGGGGCGAUUAUUAAAUAUUAAAAACUUUAAUUUUUUUAAAAAAGAACCAAUAAUAUUGGUUAUUUGAAAAAAUACUCUAGGGAUAACAGCGUAAUAAUUUUUGAUAGUUCUUAUAGACAAAAUAGUUUGCGACCUCGAUGUUGGAUUAGGAUUCUUUUUUAAUGAAGAAGUUAAAAAAAGAAGUUUGUUCAACUUUUAAAAUCCUA